UUCGCAAUGCCCGAAAGGGUGACGAAGCGACGCCGCGUGCGGGAAGAGGGCCUUCGGGUUGUAAACCGCUGUCGGGAGUUAAGAAAUGCAAGGAUGUUAAUAGCGUCUUUGCUUGACUAAGGCUCCGGAGGAAGCCACGGCUAACUCUGUGCCAGCAGCCGCGGUAAUACAGAGGCGGCAAGCGUUGUUCGGAAUUAUUGGGCGUAAAGAGCACGUAGGCGGCCGUGUAAGUCGGUUGUGAAAGCCUUCCGCUCAACGGGAGAACGGCAUCCGAUACUGCAUGGCUCGAGUGCGGGAGGGGAGAGUGGAACUUCUGGUGGAGCGGUGAAAUGCGUAGAUAUCAGAAGGAACACCGGCGGCGAAGGCGACUCUCUGGCCCGUAACUGACGCUGAGUGUGCGAAAGCUAGGGGAGCAAACGGGAUUAGAUACCCCGGUAGUCCUAGCCGUAAACGAUGGGCACUAAGUAGAGGGGUUUU
Molecule: ribosomal RNA, 477 nt
Filed under: uncultured bacterium
Lineage: Bacteria
Description: bacterial SSU rRNA
Rfam family: Bacterial small subunit ribosomal RNA
Source: RNAcentral